Molecule: non-coding RNA, 138 nt
Organism: Xylaria sp. CBS 124048
Lineage: Eukaryota; Fungi; Ascomycota; Sordariomycetes; Xylariales; Xylariaceae
Source: the annotation of a GenBank genome assembly
GCCCGGUUAGCUCAAUCGGUAGAGCGUGAGACUCUUAAUCUCAAGGUUGCGGGUGAGUGCCUCCGAAUAUUAUUCGGAAAUAUUCACUUUCUCAUUGUACUAAUCCUCCCGUCAUAGGUUCGACCCCCGCAUCGGGCU